AUAUGUUCAUAUCAAACCGAAUCGAAAAGUCCCAAUUUAUCAGAAUAUAUUGUCACCGUGUUGUUUGAUUCUAUAACGUCAUUUCCGCCUAUGACUACGCACUUUUAAAUGAAGCAGACGGAUCUUCAACAUGUGUUAUGGAACAUUAAAAAAUCACAAUGUUGCAGCAGGUGUAGCGAAGAAAGGUAAAAUAUUUAUGUUGAAAUCACCUUGAGUGUAUAUGAGAUAAAUGUAGUUACUUUAAUGGAACAAAUGAACAGUUUUUGUCAAACAUUUCGAAAUGGCGAUUUUGAAUUUUUAAGUUAGAUUUAUGGCAGUAAAAUUCUUUUAUAUUGUAUAAAGUUACAAAGUUAUAUACUAUAGCUACAAAGAUAGAUGGAUACAUGUGUACAAAAAGAAAAGAAAGUAAACACAAUAAGUAAAAUCAUUCUCUCUUUUUUUUCCUUUAGAACUAAUGACUCUGCAUGAUCAUGAGGAAGAUGCACUUGAUGCUGCAAUAUUGAUUGUUUUAAGGGACUUGCGAGUUCAACAAGUGAAUGCUCCUUAGCUAAAGGGCAGAAUACCCAGCUCAAAAAGCCCUGCGAGACAACUGGAGGUGAAAUAUGCAGAAUGGAUUAAAGAAAAUGACAUUCUAAAAUGCAAUUUUUCAGCGCAGAACUGAGAAGUCUUGCGCUACAAAAGGGGACCUUCACCAAGCAGUGGCGGUGAAAUUGACCAAAGGACCAAAAGCGGGAAAGUUAACUGUGCAGCACAGCAAUGAAAGUUCAUAAAGGCUUGUGUAUAUACUGACUAUUACACAUUAUAAAUUACUGCUUAUACUAUAGAUAGAUUUACUGUAAUAACUGUAGUAACUGAAAUAACCUGAAAGUUUUGUAACGUUUAUACAAUUAUCAUGAGUAUUGCGAAUAUAGAUAUAUUUGCAAACUAUUUGUAAUUAAGAGUACAUGUAUCUAGAGUAAUUAAACCUGAAUAUAUUACUUUAGUUGUUAUGAAUAGUUGUUGUAUUCUACAAAGGCUGCCAACCAUAUUCACAGUAUAUCACUAUAUGUCAGUAGUUUUGCUGUCCUACCGGCCGGGGUACAUGAAAUAUCUGAAGCAAGCUGCAUCUCUACUGCCAACCAAAGCUUCCAUAUUUGGAUACACAAUGCUGCUGUGCAGUACUAAUUUAAAUAUUUGAAACAUGCUGCAACUCUA
Magallana angulata is the source of this 1194-nucleotide long non-coding RNA. RefSeq lists it as uncharacterized. Lineage: Eukaryota; Metazoa; Mollusca; Bivalvia; Ostreida; Ostreidae. The record is from RefSeq and is a predicted model, not a curated record. The transcript is spliced from 3 exons.